CGUGCUUAACACAUGCAAGUCAAGGGGAAAGUUUUGCUUCGGCGGAAUGAGUAUACUGGCGGACGGGUGAGUAACGCGUAGGCGACCUACCCAUGAGAGAGGGAUAACCCAGCGAAAGUUGGACUAAUACCUUAUAAAACUAAUUUGUUGCAUGACAGAUUAGUCAAAGGGUGCCAAUUUAUUGGUAUUGCUUAUGGAUGGGCCUGCGUUCCAUUAGUUAGUUGGUAGGGUAACGGCUUACCAAGGCGACGAUGGAUAGCUGGUUUGAGAGAGCGAUCAGCCACACUGGGACUGAGAUACGGCCCAGACUCCUACGGGAGGCAGCAGUGAGGAAUAUUGCGCAAUGGGCGAAAGCCUGACGCAGCAACGCCGCGUGGGGGAUGAAGCUUUAUGGAGUGUAAACCCCUGUAAGUAGGGACGAAAGUUACCUAUACAAAUAGGAUGGGUAUUUGACGGUACCUACAGAGUAAGCUCCGGCUAACUCCGUG
This 488-nucleotide ribosomal RNA is filed under the name uncultured bacterium. Its description in RNAcentral is "bacterial SSU rRNA". It matches the Rfam family "Bacterial small subunit ribosomal RNA", at positions 43 to 507 of the family's 1533-position model. The record is from RNAcentral.